This 348-nucleotide RNase P RNA is filed under the name Bacteroidota bacterium. Its description in RNAcentral is "Bacteroidetes bacterium (groundwater metagenome) RNase P RNA component class A". It matches the Rfam family "Bacterial RNase P class A". From Rfam's summary of the family: Ribonuclease P (RNase P) is a ubiquitous endoribonuclease, found in archaea, bacteria and eukarya as well as chloroplasts and mitochondria. Its best characterised activity is the generation of mature 5'-ends of tRNAs by cleaving the 5'-leader elements of precursor-tRNAs. Lineage: Bacteria; Pseudomonadati; Bacteroidota. The record is from RNAcentral.
CUAUCUAUCGCUUCGUACAUUUUAUGUGCGGAGAGGAAAGUCCGGACAACAGAGAGCAUCCUGUCCUGAUUUAUUUCGGGAUCCCUGACAGCAAACGCCAGGGCAAGAAAGUGCCGCAGAAACAAAACCGCCCCGAUGCAAAUCGGGGUAAGGGUGAAAUCGUGAGGUAAGAGCUCACGCAUCGCAUAAGUAAUUGUGUGGUGAUGGUAAACCUCAGGAGUUGCAAUGCCGAAUAGUGAACGACUGCUCGUCUCACUUCAAUGUGAGGUUUAUUGGUAGGCAGCAUAGAUAAAUGAUAGAUAUAUCCCGAAAAAUGUUCGGGAUGAAACAGAAACCGGCUUAUGCCGA